UGUGGCGCAGGUAAACUCAUCGAAAGGUGAGGACACAAAGCCACGGGUCCUCGUCGCAGAUUUAUGAAAGGAUAGCCGGGUUGCCAAGA
Molecule: non-coding RNA, 89 nt
Filed under: Candidatus Omnitrophota bacterium
Lineage: Bacteria; Pseudomonadati; Candidatus Omnitrophota
Description: Omnitrophica WOR c-di-GMP sequence
Rfam family: c-di-GMP-I-GGC riboswitch aptamer
Source: RNAcentral